GAGGAACCAUGCACCAUGGAAGAUCUUGCUAGGGCUACAGACCAGACCUUAUGUGCCCAACACUGGAAAAACCUAUGAUUGUGAUGGAAGGACACCAGAAGGAGGAAGACUGAGAAGGGAACAUAGUAACUGCCAUACUGGAUCAGAUUGGGUGAACCAAGGUACAUCUAGUCCAGUAUCCUGUCUGCAACAGCAGCCAGCAUCAGAUACUUCAGAGGAAAGUGGAAGAAACCCAUAGCGGGACAAUGUAGGAUAAUCAGCUGCAUCAUGAAAGGCUCCUUAUGGGAAACAAUUACAUAGUACUUGGAAAAGGAAAAGCAGUACUAACUGCUCAGUCCUGGUUGGAGCUGAAAGUUUGUCAGAAAAUCAUUCCGAUGAAAAAUGCCCUUUUCACAAAACCAUUUUUUUUCAAGAGAAAAUUUCAGUUUACCAAAACAUUUCUGUUUCUCAUCAGGAAAAAUCAAAAAGGAUGGCUCCUGGUUGGGCCUGGAAGGAAACUGACAAGAUACAUGUGACUGCUGAGCAUGUCAGUUUCACUCCGCAGCUGUCUGGGUCCCGGGCUGGGCGCGACUUCGUUCCACGCAUUGGGGUUUCCGUCCCAAAGGAAGAUUUUUCGGGAGGCGGAGUUCAUGGGAAAUUUCGAAGCCACUAAUUUCCCCCGCGAACUGGGAAGGCGGCGCGUGGGGCGGCUCCAGCGGCGGGGCGGUGCCAGAGCUGUGGGGGGAACUGCUCCUGUCACCCCGGAUGUUGUCCACUACCUUGACCUCUUAGGAGGAUGGAAGACUGCUCAGUGUCUUCAAACAGUCUCCCUUGGGCAGAGAGAUGUCAAUCACAGAUGAACACAUAUGCUGACUCCUCUGCCUGCAAAUCAAGUAUGCUGUACAGGAGUGUUACAGUUCCUUGCAGAUAUUACUCUGAGCACUUAGGUGUCCCAGAAAAACACUUACAAGAAUUCCUUCAAAGUUCUCACAAUUUCUAGAGAAGCUGGCCAAGACAGCUGAGUUUGCAUUAGUACUGGUCUAGGACUCUUCAGGGGCCCAACAUGGGAAAUAUAGAAAUAUAGGACCACCUCUUUAGUAGGGUUGCUAUGUCCUUGAACCCAGGCAAGUCAUUUGCUAUGGGGCAAGGUGGGCAGUUGCCCCCCUCCCCUCCCGCCUUCCUGACUUUUCAUAGUUCUAUUUGCUCCAUUAUGUCUUCCACUUUUUGCCCCCUCUGUAAUGGAAUAGAAAAUACCACAUUUAAGAUAGCCUGAGCAUUAAAGGAUCUUAUGAUCAACA
Chrysemys picta bellii (western painted turtle) is the source of this 1277-nucleotide long non-coding RNA. RefSeq lists it as uncharacterized. The record is from RefSeq and is a predicted model, not a curated record. Lineage: Eukaryota; Metazoa; Chordata; Testudines; Emydidae.